AAACCGUCAAGCCCUGCUUGGUCUUGAGUCCGGUCUAGCGACCGGCCCGCAACUAUUUGGCGGCGUCGCCCGGCCCUGAGCGUAGCAGAAACUACCUCGCUCCAGGGGCCCGCGGAGGCGCCCGCCGGAAGCGCAAGUCUACA
Molecule: unclassified non-coding RNA, 143 nt
Filed under: uncultured Ascomycota
Lineage: Eukaryota; Fungi; Ascomycota
Description: sequence contains ITS2
Source: RNAcentral